This 781-nucleotide ribosomal RNA is filed under the name uncultured bacterium. RNAcentral's name for it is "bacterial SSU rRNA". It matches the Rfam family "Bacterial small subunit ribosomal RNA", at positions 59 to 850 of the family's 1533-position model. The record is from RNAcentral.
CAGUCGAACGGACUCAUAUUGAAACCUAGUGAUUUAUGAGUUAGUGGCGGACGGGUGAGUAACGCGUGGAUAACCUGCCGUAUACCGGGGGAUAACACUUAGAAAUAGGUGCUAAUACCGCAUAAGCGCACGGCUCCGCAUGGGGCAGUGUGAAAAACUCCGGUGGUAUACGAUGGAUCCGUGUCUGAUUAGCUAGUUGGCGGGGUAACGGCCCACCAAGGCAGCGAUCAGUAGCCGGCCUGAGAGGGUGGACGGCCACAUUGGGACUGAGACACGGCCCAAACUCCUACGGGAGGCAGCAGUGGGGAAUAUUGCACAAUGGGGGAAACCCUGAUGCAGCGACGCCGCGUGAGUGAAGAAGUAUCUCGGUACGUAAAGCUCUAUCAGCAGGGAAGAAAAUGACGGUACCUGACUAAGAAGCCCCGGCUAACUACGUGCCAGCAGCCGCGGUAAUACGUAGGGGGCAAGCGUUAUCCGGAUUUACUGGGUGUAAAGGGAGCGUAGACGGCAGCACAAGUCUGGAGUGAAAUCCCGGGGCUUAACCCCGGAACUGCUUUGGAAACUGUGCGGCUGGAGUGCAGGAGGGGUAAGCGGAAUUCCUAGUGUAGCGGUGAAAUGCGUAGAUAUUAGGAGGAACACCGGUGGCGAAGGCGGCUUACUGGACUGUAACUGACGUUGAGGCUCGAAAGCGUGGGGAGCAAACAGGAUUAGAUACCCUGGUAGUCCACGCCGUANACGAUGAUUACUAGGUGUCGGGGGANCAAGGUCCUCCGGUGCCGGC